CUGUCCCCGCUCCGCGCUGCAGCCCGCGGCCCCGCGGGGUCCUAGGCCCAGCUCCCCGCAGUUUUGCGGUGCCCCCGCCCCCCGCGGCCCGCCAGCCGGCCGGGUUUCCGCCUUACUUCCCUGUGCUUAGAAUUUGCAGCCGCAUCCGCUGACGCUCGCAGCCAAUUUCACGGCCUGUGGGCUCCGCGCGGUGCGCGGGAUCGUAAAACCGCCGGCGCAGGGCGGGGGCGGGCGGGGGCUCCCUGGAGGCACCCGGGGAAGGGGCAGAGGGGGCGUUGGGGAGAGGGUGUGUGUGUAAGGGGUGUGGACCGGAUGGGGGGCGCCACUGGUGGCUGCCCUGGGGGUGCUCCGAGGGUGUGCAGGCAUGGUCGUGUGUGUGCUGGAGUGUCGUCUGGGAGUGGAUGUCCACUUGUGGGAACAUGUCUGGGACGUGUGUUUUGGCGUGUGAGUCUGUGUAGGGGCCCCAGCGCUCGCUGGCAGGUUUGUCUGGGUGUGUAUAGUGAAACGUGUGUGUGUGUGUGUUGGGCAGUUCACAGUGAAUGGGGGCCAGUGUGUUUCUGUGGGUGUGUUGACAUGUGUCUGUGCAGUGUCUCCAGGCAUGUUGGCACCUGUGUGUGUUUGCGUGUUGGGGCUGGCCCCCUUAUGUCUGGGUUCUGUGGGCAGCUGUGUACAGUGCAUGUGGGGCUGUGUACGCACGUUUAUCGGAGGGAGUGUGAAAUUCUGGAGUGUAGGUUGCUGUCCUGGUGUCUUGUGGAUGCAGGUGUGUGUGUGAGGGUACCGUGUGCAACUUGGAGUGUUGUCCUGUCCUGUCCCUGCUGGUGUCUGGGGUCAGGAUUCACAUAUGAGCCCAGUAGCUGGGGGCCUGUCCUCUCCCUCCCCAGGUCUGGGAGCCCUCUCCAGGAGCAAGCCUGCUGCUCCCUUGUUUUCUGCCUUGGUGUGGGUAAUGGAGUUGACGCAGCGCAGGGGGCAGAGUGUAUGUUUCUGUUCUGUAGCUGCUGCUGGCUGCCAACUCUGAAGGAGAGGAUUUGGAUGAGGAGCUGCUGCUGCCUGAGCUGGGUCAGGACCUGA
RNAcentral lists this long non-coding RNA (1068 nucleotides) under Rhinolophus ferrumequinum (greater horseshoe bat). Its description in RNAcentral is "lncRNA (ENSRFEG00010003631.1)". Lineage: Eukaryota; Metazoa; Chordata; Mammalia; Chiroptera; Rhinolophidae. The record is from RNAcentral.